This 2926-nucleotide long non-coding RNA is filed under the name Homo sapiens (human). RNAcentral's name for it is "HSALNT0304850". Lineage: Eukaryota; Metazoa; Chordata; Mammalia; Primates; Hominidae. The record is from RNAcentral.
CGCAGCAGUCGCCAAUUCCAACAGGAAAGCGCCUGAAAGCCACUGACUCCGCGUAGCCGGCGGAGGACCACUGUGACGAACUUGUGUCCUGCGUCAACAGUGUGUGGAACGUUGGCGACCUCGGCGCUCGAGCUGCACUCCGCUGGGCUCUUGGCAGCACCCUGUGCUCUGAGGGUGUCUUGCCCGCCGGGCGCCGUGGCUCACGCCUGUAAUCCCAACACUUUGGGAGGCUGAGGCGGGCGGAUCACUUGAGGUCAAGAGUUCAAGACCAGCCUGGCCAACAUGAUUCUACUCUAAAAGUCACCAGGAAAAAUUCAGCUCCACUGGUCCUGGCUCUAAGUCUACUAGCAAAAUCUUCCAGAGAAGUGGAAAAGCCAUCAGCCAAUGUGUUAGACUAUCAUUUCCAUGACCUUACACCUAUCAAAAAGGCACUAUUACCAGGCUUAUAGAAUUCUAAAAAAGUUGGAAACCAUUUUCCAUUAUAAAAGAAAUUCUUCCAAAUCACACAAAACACUCUGACACUUCUCCAAUUCCCCCUAUCAUGGGGCUGGCAGCAGCCGCUUUGCGUCCUGAAUGUCAUGACAGUGAUGAUAACAGUAAUGAUGAUAACAGCAAUGAUGAAGUCUCACAUUUAAAAUUUUCAAGUCACUCAUCACAUCCCAAGUCACUCCCUUCAUUACCUUUUAUUUAUACUGGAGUCAUCCUGUGUGCCUCAGUCAGACCAUUUUGUAUGUACAAUGACCGACAAUGAGAUUUAACAUGCAGUUUGCAGAUCCUCCCUUCUCUGGGUCACCUGAAAAUAAGCCACAAACAAAGGAAUGAAAUUGUUGAUGAAAAGGGAAGAGGCAAGACUCCAUAUGAAGAAUACAACUGACUCACCUGUCUGUACAUGCCUCUGUGUGUGUGUUUUAUAUUGGUGCUGGUGAAGAUAGUUCUUUAUGCUGAUGCUUAAUAAGGUGAAAUGUGUCUAUUUUCUUCCAUUGGCCCAGGCACAGAUGCGAUUAUAAUUGCUAAGAUUAUUUGCAUAUUGGCUUUUAAUGAUGCAUUUAAAAAUAUUCAUCCCAUUUACUGACUUAUGCAGGCAAUGUACUUUUGUAAAUGUGGGCCAGCAUCAUGCUUAAAUUCCCAAACCACUAUUUAUUUAAAACUCAUCACUUCAGUUUUUAUACCCUUUCUCCCCCAUAAGGGAAAAAAUAUGAUUCUGACUGUAUAAGCACCAACUAAACAGAACACAAAACAUGGCAGACGAUAAAAACAUAUUUUCACAAAUGAGACAUGUCAUUUUACCAUCGAGGAGAGAAACAAAAUAAGCUGGUUUUCAAGUUCCAUAUCUUGUGUGCUCCUUUCAGCUAAAUGCCCUUACAUCUGUAAGCCCUUGGGACAGGUUAAGGCUUUUAUUAUUAUUUUAAAGUCUUCAUAACUACAACCUAGCAUCCAAAGUGAAACAGAUGCUAUUGGAUAUGAGUAGCAUAUGCAAUGGAAAUAUUGACAUUGCCUUCCCGACAGUCAUGAGGGAUAGACCAUAGGCUUUUUGGUAACCUAUAUUUUCUAGGCCCAAAGCAGGGAAUGAGAUGGCAGGGAAAUUCAGGGUAAACUCCAAAUUUACAUAAAGUUAUAGAAGAAUAUAGAUCAUGAGUAGUGGCUAGCACCUUCCUGACUUCCAGAAAAUGGUGGUGCCGAUAUUGAACAACAGUUUGGAGAAAAUGUAAAAUGUUUACAUUUACAUUUACAGUUUAGUCUUUGAACAACAGUUUGGAGAAAAUGUAAAAUGAAAAUUUGUUAACGAACUUGUUUUUAAAAAGCACCUAGACUCCAUAUAAGAGUACUUGUCCUAUGUUAUUUUCAUAAACUACAUUUGUGAUUGUUUUGGUGAGUCUUUUACUUUGAAUCCCAUUUGCAUAAAUUUGUUAAUAGGGAGAUCAUAGAAUCACUGAUUAAUUGCAUCAUACAGAGUUGUAUGAUGUGGAUUAGAUUUUGCCUAAUCUAACCUCUCUAUCUUAGAGAUGGAGGGGGGUGGAGUGGGAGUUGGCAACAGGUGGUUACAGAGCCUUCAAAUUCCUUGAUGAGUAGCUCCUGCUGUCUGAAAUCUCCUUCUGGUCAAGGGGACAACUGACAUUCUACUUGGGUGACAGGAUUUCUGAGUUUGAAGCUGAGAAUGAUCCAAUGGAUGCCACUUCAGGGCAAAACGAGUAUCAAUAACCAGGAAGAUAAUAAAACUAAAGAAGCAACCCAAUGGCUUCUUCAGAGGCUGGCCCAGGUAAAGCAUACAGGAUGAAAUAUUAGGCUGUCAGAAUAGACUGGGUGUGGAAGGCAGGGCUUGGCCCUUCUCUUCCUGGGGUAGAACUGUAACUAGCUCCAGGCACUAUAACGGCAAGUCUGCAUACUCAGCCCGAAGUGCAGAAAGAGCCUGGGUGGUUCAGAGUCCAACAUAGACAACUGCAGAACAAAUACAGGUCAGUGGGGCUGGAGGUAGCUUUGUGGAGUUCCGCAAUAAUGGAUAUUCAGAAGAGUCUAUAGUAUUGUAAAACUUGUGCUUCUUGGUAGAGCCAGCUACUCUGAAUCUAUUCUGAAUCUAUAAGAAUCCUCCACUCCCAUUCUCCACCAUUUCCAACAUCCACGGAUACAGGAAGAUUUAAUAAUCACUCGCACCAAGACUUACAGAGGCUUUUCUUAAACAGAGUUCUAACAAUAAUUUCAGCUUUGACCUUAGUUUAUCCAGCAGGGUCUCUCCUUCAUGCUUUCUCUAAGAACGUGAUGUCAUAAAAGAGACACUGCUGCUGGCUUUGGCUAUUCUUUGGCAAUCAGAGUGAAUUAUCUAUAUUUCCUGGGAUUUCAAAUGAGAAGGCUGUCAGAACAAGCUUCUGGGUAAGCAGCAUUUUGCCAUGAAGAGAAAGAGGACGCAUUGGAAGGAAGGAUGCAUUUUAAC